Molecule: ribosomal RNA, 428 nt
Filed under: uncultured bacterium
Lineage: Bacteria
Description: partial 16S ribosomal RNA
Rfam family: Bacterial small subunit ribosomal RNA
Source: RNAcentral
GUGGGGAAUAUUGGGCAAUGGGCGCAAGCCUGACCCAGCAACGCCGCGUGAGGGAAGAAGGUCUUCGGAUUGUAAACCUCUGUCCUUGGGGACGAAAAAAAUGACGGUACCCAAGGAGGAAGCUCCGGCUAACUACGUGCCAGCAGCCGCGGUAAUACGUAGGGAGCGAGCGUUGUCCGGAAUUACUGGGCGUAAAGGGUGCGUAGGCGGCUAGGCAAGUCAGAUGUGAAAUCCCCGGGCUUAACUCGGGAGUUGCAUUUGAAACUGCUUGGCUUGAGUGCAGGAGAGGAAAGCGGAAUUCCUAGUGUAGCGGUGAAAUGCGUAGAUAUUAGGAGGAACACCAGUGGCGAAGGCGGCUUUCUGGACUGUAACUGACGCUGAGGCACGAAAGCGUGGGGAGCAAACAGGAUUAGAAACCCUAGUAGUCC